This is a long non-coding RNA of Asparagus officinalis (garden asparagus), 876 nucleotides long. RefSeq lists it as uncharacterized. The record is from RefSeq and is a predicted model, not a curated record. Lineage: Eukaryota; Viridiplantae; Streptophyta; Magnoliopsida; Asparagales; Asparagaceae. The transcript is spliced from 3 exons.
UCGUCACAAUAGAAUCUAAGACAACGCUUUAAAAUCAAGCGUUGAGUUUGAAUUAGGCUUGGGGCUAAAUUAUGCAAGGAGCUAGGGGGACGGAUCCCGCACAUUUUCAUUUCUGAUUUUAAGACCGAGCGCCACAAUUUCCCCCCUAAAUUUUCAUUUGACCGCUCCGUAAAAACCCUAAAACCCAUUCAAAUCCCCAAUUCUUCAUUCAGCCAUCUCCCAAUCUCCUCCUUUGCGUCUCAUCCUCCUCCGCUCGAACUUCCCACACAUCUCCACGCCGACCUCGAUGGUGUCGAGAUCCCUCCGGAUCAGCAGCGGCUCAUUUUCGUAGGAAAGCAGGUCGAGGAUGGCCGGACCCUGGCCGAUUACAACAUCCAGAAGUAGUUGACGCUCCACCUCAUCCUCCGCCUCCGCGGUGGCGCCAAGAAGAGGAAGAAGAAGACCUACACCAGGACCAAGAAGAUCAACGCUCCGUUCUCCCCCAAUGGAGCAGCUGGAUUAGGGUUUUGUUGCUCUCUGAAACUUUGCCCAAAUUGAGUGAAGAUAGAGGAGAGCUUACCAAUGAAUCAUAAUCAAGGGGAUGAAGCGAGGUCUCUUGUUGUUGCGAUUGAGGACGACCCUUUGGCCGAAGUGGGUCAGUCCUCUUCGAAGAGCCAUGCCCGAGAUGCUCACAUAUUAAGUUUAUCUUUAUUCUUCAUCUUCUGUGCUUACGGUGCUGCUCAGAAUCUCGAGAGCACUGUCAACACCAAGGGGGACCUUGGAACAACGUUGAUGGGGAUACUUUACACUUCGUUCACUCUGUUCUCAGUGGUGGCUUCGCCAGUUGUGAGGGGCUUGGGGACGAAGCGGGCUCUGGUUUUGGGUACCCUAUGAAUA